GGGGAUUGUGGAAGAGGCAUGAAGAGAGAAAGAUUUUGAAGGACAAGCCAAGAUGCAAGAGACUAAGCUGGGGACAUGUUUUGUCAAUCAAGAUGAAGAUUCUAAAACAGAAUGUUCCCAGGAGGAGUGGCAGUUGAGCUGGCGAGGGGGAAGGGCUGGAAGUGCCACUCUCUCUCUGGCAGUUGAAGCUGGCAGUGGAGUCCUGCUGAAGACCCUGAUUGUGCUGACUUGUUUUGGGGGGUUUUCUGAUCAAGGUUUUUCCACAUAUAAUAUCAUGUCAUCAGUAGGGUGAGAAUUGUUCCACUUUCCUACCAAUAUAACCUAAAAGGGACAGCUGAUACAGUGGAUGACAGAGUCAAAACCCAAAGAGAUAUUGGCAGGUAAGCGCUUUAAUCUUAUUCUAAUAACAUGACAUCCAAUUGAGGUUAGUAUAAAUUCUUAUUCUUGGGUUUCACAAGGACAAGAUGGGGGAGAAGUCAGUUAGAAAGCUGUCUGGAAAAAAUCUGGGGCUUUAGUGGACUCCAAAAUCAAUAUAAAUUAGGACUAUAACAUGAUGGCCAAAAAAGCUAAUGCAAUCCUUGGCUGCACUGAGAGGAAGAGACUGAAUUGGCCCAUAGGAGCUGUUCUUUGGGGUGUCUCCAGAAUUGCACUUUUUGGUUCUAGUCAACCACAUGGGAACUUUGAGACCUGCUUCCAGCCAUAAGACUAUUCAAUACUGAAAUUACCUUGUAUUCUGGUAUAAUGUGAUAAACCUCAAGUGUCCCUUUCUACUGCUAUGUUCAUUGCUUACUUAUCAUAGAUGAAAGGGCAUAUAUAUUGAGAUGACAUGUCCAGGCUUGAAGGCACCCAUAUGAAUAUGAGAAGCUCAAAGGUCCUGGAUUCCAUCAGGUUAGGGCUAAAUGAAUAUAGGAGAGAUAUCUCCAGCAACUUCUUGAUUGUUCUUGGGAAGGACAACCACCACCACCACCAAGAAAAUUGGUUUUGCUAGCAGAUGUUUACAAUUGAGAGCCAAGAUGAGAUAGUCAGUGCCUAAUUAGCAGUGAAUAAGCUAUUUUAUACUGUGAUGAGGUUUAAGUAUCAAUUUCCCAGAAGAUUAUAACAGUUCACAGUUUUUCAGUCACUUUCAAUCAUUUCCUACUCCACCCCACUCAGGAUUUUCUUGGCAAAGAUAUAUGAGUUUGUUUGCCAUUUCCUUAUCUAGUUCAUUUGAUAGUUGAGGAAACAGGCAAACAGGGUUAAAUGACUCAUCCAGGAUCCCACAGCUAGUGGCUGAGCCUGCAUUUGAACUCGGGAAGAUGAAUCUUCUUGACUCAGGUCUGGCAACAGCAGUUAUAUAUAAUUUUGCUUUAAUAUUAAUAUGUGCUAUGACUCUUUUUAUAGUUAGUUUUUCUUUUGUUUGUAGGAAUAAAUUACCUGUCCAAUUCCUGAUUUAU
Molecule: long non-coding RNA, 1433 nt
Filed under: Monodelphis domestica (gray short-tailed opossum)
Lineage: Eukaryota; Metazoa; Chordata; Mammalia; Didelphimorphia; Didelphidae
Description: lncRNA (ENSMODG00000040147.1)
Source: RNAcentral